Molecule: ribosomal RNA, 1372 nt
Filed under: uncultured bacterium
Lineage: Bacteria
Description: bacterial SSU rRNA
Rfam family: Bacterial small subunit ribosomal RNA
Source: RNAcentral
GAUGAACGCUGGCGGCGUGCCUAAUACAUGCAAGUCGAGCGAACGGACGAGAAGCUUGCUUCUCUGAUGUUAGCGGCGGACGGGUGAGUAACACGUGGAUAACCUACCUAUAAGACUGGGAUAACUUCGGGAAACCGGAGCUAAUACCGGAUAAUAUUUUGAACCGCAUGGUUCAAAAGUGAAAGACGGUCUUGCUGUCACUUAUAGAUGGAUCCGCGCUGCAUUAGCUAGUUGGUAAGGUAACGGCUUACCAAGGCAACGAUGCAUAGCCGACCUGAGAGGGUGAUCGGCCACACUGGAACUGAGACACGGUCCAGACUCCUACGGGAGGCAGCAGUAGGGAAUCUUCCGCAAUGGGCGAAAGCCUGACGGAGCAACGCCGCGUGAGUGAUGAAGGUCUUCGGAUCGUAAAACUCUGUUAUUAGGGAAGAACAUAUGUGUAAGUAACUGUGCACAUCUUGACGGUACCUAAUCAGAAAGCCACGGCUAACUACGUGCCAGCAGCCGCGGUAAUACGUAGGUGGCAAGCGUUAUCCGGAAUUAUUGGGCGUAAAGCGCGCGUAGGCGGUUUUUUAAGUCUGAUGUGAAAGCCCACGGCUCAACCGUGGAGGGUCAUUGGAAACUGGAAAACUUGAGUGCAGAAGAGGAAAGUGGAAUUCCAUGUGUAGCGGUGAAAUGCGCAGAGAUAUGGAGGAACACCAGUGGCGAAGGCGACUUUCUGGUCUGUAACUGACGCUGAUGUGCGAAAGCGUGGGGAUCAAACAGGAUUAGAUACCCUGGUAGUCCACGCCGUAAACGAUGAGUGCUAAGUGUUAGGGGGUUUCCGCCCCUUAGUGCUGCAGCUAACGCAUUAAGCACUCCGCCUGGGGAGUACGACCGCAAGGUUGAAACUCAAAGGAAUUGACGGGGACCCGCAUAAGCGGUGGAGCAUGUGGUUUAAUUCGAAGCAACGCGAAGAACCUUACCAAAUCUUGACAUCCUUUGACAACUCUAGAGAUAGAGCCUUCCCCUUCGGGGGACAAAGUGACAGGUGGUGCAUGGUUGUCGUCAGCUCGUGUCGUGAGAUGUUGGGUUAAGUCCCGCAACGAGCGCAACCCUUAAGCUUAGUUGCCAUCAUUAAGUUGGGCACUCUAAGUUGACUGCCGGUGACAAACCGGAGGAAGGUGGGGAUGACGUCAAAUCAUCAUGCCCCUUAUGAUUUGGGCUACACACGUGCUACAAUGGACAAUACAAAGGGCAGCGAAACCGCGAGGUCAAGCAAAUCCCAUAAAGUUGUUCUCAGUUCGGAUUGUAGUCUGCAACUCGACUACAUGAAGCUGGAAUCGCUAGUAAUCGUAGAUCAGCAUGCUACGGUGAAUACGUUCCCGGGUCU